Long non-coding RNA from Sapajus apella (tufted capuchin), 4539 nucleotides. RefSeq lists it as uncharacterized. The transcript has 3 exons. NCBI's taxonomy places the organism in Eukaryota, Metazoa, Chordata, Mammalia, Primates, Cebidae. The record is from RefSeq and is a predicted model, not a curated record.
UGGAAGUUACCUUUGAGGAGGUAACAUCUGAGCAGAGAUUUGAAUACAGUGAGGGAAGAAAAGAAGUGAAUGUAUGGGUAACCUGCCUUCUAAAGGGAGGGAACAGAAAUGCUGUCCAGAGAGAAGUGUCUUGGUGAACUCCAGGCUCAGCAAGGUCCGUAUGACUGGCAAGGGCCUAGUGAACAAGGAAGAGUGGGAGAUGCUGUUGCAGGGGUAACUAAAGGCCUUGAAGGAAAUUUGGAUUUAUUCUGUGUGCCUGGAAAUUAUUAGAUUCGAAAGAGUGACAUGGCACAUUUCGAUAGAAUCAUUGGUCAGCUUCAAGGAGGGCAGAUAGUGAUGGGGUUAGAGGGGAUACAGGGAAACCAUUGAGGAGGCAAUGACAGCUGUCCACAAUUACAAGUAGCCUCCCACAAUUAUAUAACUUUUCUACAAGGCAAUUGCUUUGAGACCCUAAUGAUUCUAAGAUAAUGAAGGGUUCUGGGUGCCAUGCUGAGUUUGAAUAUUAUUGUUUGAGGAAUGUGAGAAUGAUAAUAUGUAUUGAGCACUAACUACAUGUUGGGCACUUUUAUAAGCACUUUACAUUAUUUAAUGAAACCAAAAAGUGAGGUUUGCCCUAUUAAUAAAUGAGAAAACCAAGACAGUGAUCUAUUAAGUGCCUUGCUCAAAGACCCAUGUCCUUGGAACCAGGAGUCCUUCUGUUGAUGGAGGAAAGGUUCAAAAGUGCUCUUAUUAUUUGUCACCUGGAUGGCAAAGAACUGACAUACAAAGGCCCAAGUCUUCCAGAACUGAAAAAAGUAAUGAAACCUUCAUUUAUCUGACCCAUUUGUCCUGGAGAUGCUGUAGUUUAUUAGGCGUAUCUAACAGGUGCCCUUCCACAAGCAACUAAAAAAAAAAACACACACAAAACUAUUCAAGAUGAAAAGAAGCAGUGAAGCCUCUAACACAAAGCCUGACACACCCUUUGGCUUCAGCCAGAACUCACCCACUAUAUUGUUCUGAGCAUUGAACGAGGAAGCCCCCGCUUCUGUCAAGGAUUCUCAUUAGGAUCCAGUCUCCUCAGAGAAAGGAGGUUAAAAUGUGGUCUGGAGAAUCCCUUUCCCUUCUGUUCUAUUAACUAUGUAUAUGCAAAUGAACACUUACAUUUGACCAAGCCCUGCAUCACUAGUCUGUUUACUCUUCCCCAGGACAGUGGCUACUUGCUAGUAAUUCCUGGUAUUCAUUUGCUGAGCCCUGUUGGGACCAUUGCAGCAUGAUGUAAUAAGAUCUUUCUUUAACCUCAUUUCUUCCUGCUUCUUGACUACCACUCCGUGCUCAAGUCAUACACCUCUGAGAAUUUCCUGUAUACUAUGGUCUCUUAGCCUCUCUUGCCAUUAUUCUUAUUCUUCCUACACGUUUUCAUUUCCUCCCCAUCUUCUAUUCACCCAGCUAGUUCAUUCCCAUAGCACUAUAUGCUAGGAACUACUUGACAGCAGAGAUCAGGCGUCAUUUACCCUGGAAUUCAUAGAAGCUGACUUAUGCUAGGGGCUCAAUAAAUGUUAGUUGCAUGAAUAAACUACACUAAGUAGGUACAAGGUCUUACUCAUCCUUGUCACAAUAACAUCCAGCACAGGCCAAUCACUUAUAAGUCUCUUGACCACAGGCAGGAAUCAGAUAAUGCCAAUGUGUAUAUAGGCAGGAAAGUAACCUACCUCAAUUAAGUUCUAAGCAUUCAUAAAUUUUUCAGAGGCCCUUCUCCUCGAGAUCUGUUGUGAUAUUUUUUCAGGAGCCAGAGGCAGUUCAAAGCUAUGCACUCUCUAGGAGGGGGUACUGGCACCAUAUUCUGCAGCUCCACCUCUAUUAGUCAGAGAACCCUGAUUGGUAACCUCUUUAAAUGCCCAGAGGCCCAUUUUGCAGAGCUCAAGUGGAGGUAAUGGCCCUAUUUGAGUCUUUUGAAUGCUGACCCAGCCGUAGAGAAAAUACCUUGUUCACCCAAUUCUCUAUAGUUCCAGAGGGUGCUGUAUUUCUUAACCACCUUCAGAGUCACCCUAGUGCAUCCUAACUCCUGGUUUAUUUCAGAUUUCCCUACCAUGAGCUCCUUGUGAACUCCUGAGCUCUAAAUCACCAGCAACUAUUGAGUAGGUGCUCUGUAAAUAUCUCAUGACAUACUGGUCAUAUCUGUCAUAGUUUGCUGCACACAGGCCUGUCUGCAUGGACAGUGAUCACGUAGCAUUCCUCCUCCCACCAACUGACUGGAUGGAUACUUAGCCAGAAAAGGUGACUUGUGAGGCUUGUCUUAAACGGAUGAUCUGGACCAAUGGGUUUCUUUCAUGGAAUUUUACAAUUAGGACAGAGACACUUGGGUGUUAGAAAGAAGGUGAAAGGUCACUAGAUAUGAGAGCUAAUGCUGACAUCUUGGGUAAUGUGCAAAUUUAAUUGUAAGCCAAGGAAUCCAACCACCAGUGAGGGGAUGGACAAAGCAGUAACAGAGCCCAUGUGGGGGUGGUAGCAGUGGUGAGGGGUGGGGGAACAGAGACAGGGCGAGAGCAUACACAUGUCCUUGGUUGCUGGUGAUUCUAAGUUGCUGCAAACUCUGGCUAUACUGCUUUAAUUACCAGCAAAUCCUCAAUAUUACUGAAACUUAAGUUCUACCCGAGAAUGGACACUGAAGGGCUUGGGUUUAACUCAGGAUAUGGUAACAAAGGUCCUCUCUCCUAGACCCAUAUACUCCUAGUCCUCCUCCCAGUUGGUUGGAUUCCUUUGCUUACAAUAUUUGCACAUGACCCAAGAUGUCAGCAUCAGCUCUCAUAUCUGGUGCUUUCAUCUUCUAACAUCCAAGUGGCUCUGUCCUAAUUUUAAAAUUCCACGAAAGAAACCCAUUUGGUCCAGAUUAUUAUUGUUUCACAAAUAAACAGCACCCUUCCCCUAAGUCUGGAGGCUUGAAGAGGAUGGGGCAAAUCAUUGACACUAAGCUUCUCCACUCUCCUGCCCCCACCUCCUUCCAUAUAAUUCUCAACUCAGCAUGCAGAUCCUGGGUCUCCUUGCCUAUACUCAAAUACAAACCACUGGAGUUAGAAAAGGAAAAGAAGGGGGAAUAAAACAUCAAACUAGCCUUAUCCUCAGGAACUUAGAUUUUUAAUAAUCUCUCUCUUCUACACAAUCUCCUCCUUUCCCUUCAGAUUUUUUUUUCUUGUUCCCCACAUCAUCUCAAGAGAGAGAGCUAGAGGGGAAGAAAGGAGGCAGACAAAAGAAAUGGGUAGAAAUUGAUGGAAAUGAUAAAGACAGCAGCAAAAUAAAGGCUCAAAAGGCAAGCACAGGACAAGAGAGAAAGGGAGAAAUGAAGGGUUUUGAAGCCUAGGAUGGAUGCAAUGUCUCAAAAUUGGUAAAAUAUUAACCCUAAGAGGUCACAUAGUCCAGAGACACUGGAUUGCUGAAGGUUCAAACAGUUAAGAGUUCACAGAAACUUCCUCCAUUGCCAUCUACAGACAUCUUCUGUACCCAUCGUUUUUGGAUUCUCAUCUCUCCCAGUAGAAAGUUUCCUUCCUCCUGUUGAAAGAGAUCCCUACAGCCUCUACCCGUGUUCCAGAUCCUAUUUUCCCACUUUGAGCUGCAUGUUCCCUCCUUUCUGUACCUUCACUCUUCCACACCUCUUCUUAGUUAUGAACACGCUCAAUCCUACCUUAAAUCAUACAAACACUUCCUGGCAGAUGUUGGCUGGCUAAAUCAACACCAUCCUCAACCCCACCUUUUUUGUACCUGCCUCGUCUAUAGAGGCUGGCAGGGUUAAAUACUUCUUUCCCCAGCCUUCCUUGUGCUAGGGGUGGCCAUACAAUAUAGCUGUGGUCAAUAAGAUGUAAGCAGGAGUCUACUGAGUGGCUUCUGGGAAAAACUCUCCUGAUCAAAGGCACUGAUGUUGAUCAGGGAGGUGCUCCCCCUCCUUCCCUCCUGCCUUGAAUGCAGAUACUUUAUUUGAUGCUAUGGCCAUCAUGAUGUAACCAUGAUGGAAACCCCAUUAAACUCAAGACACUGAAUUGUUUUACAUGUGAGCCAGUGACAGCCACCCCAUCUAUUUGCUUACACCAUUGUGUACUGGGCUUUCCAUUGUAGCCCACAGCUCUUCUGAUAUGCUCCAAGCCCCUGCCUCCCUCUAGUUAUCUUUCUGAGUCUCUCCUACUUCAGUAAGGCUGCUAAGUUCUUUUUAACAUUUAACUCACUCUUCAACCUACUAAAAGAGAUUUUAAGCCAUCUUAAAUUGAUAGCUAAAACAAAAGCACAUAAUUCUAUUUUUAUUUUACUUCACCCUCCAUAGCAUUUGACAGUAUUAACUAUUCCUAUCCCCGUGUUAAAGCAUCUUUUUACUUUUGUGGCACCAACUUCUGACUUUUCUAUUUUCUUUUGGCUGUUUAUUCUACUUAGCUUCUAUUAAUUCCUCUUUUCAUCAGCUACCGCAUCAAUGACAGUCCUCCCACUAUCUCCUUUAUCAUUUACUCUGCUGCCUACCAGGACUCUUCCCUUCUUGGAUGUUCCAGACUCAUGGAAAUGUUCCCAGAGUGAAACUCCAUC